GGUAAGACAAAUCUCAAAGUCCAGACAUUUAUUAAUUUACCACAAUGUACUAACUGAAUACAUGAUAAUUAACUAAGUAUAUAAUGAACUAUGGCAAUAAGCAAUAUAGUAUGCCUUGUGCUACCUAAUGAUAAUAAGGAAAAAGG
This is a long non-coding RNA of Athene cunicularia (burrowing owl), 146 nucleotides long. RefSeq lists it as uncharacterized. The transcript is spliced from 2 exons. The record is from RefSeq and is a predicted model, not a curated record. Lineage: Eukaryota; Metazoa; Chordata; Aves; Strigiformes; Strigidae.